GCAAGCAUACCUAAUGACUUUUCUUGGUAUAAAAGAACUUUCACACAAGUCAGCGGUCAGUGGCAAGACACUGAUUCAAUGAGGGAAGAGUUGGAUGAUUUACAGAUUUUCUUGAGCACAAGAUGGGCU
This is a long non-coding RNA of Arachis duranensis, 129 nucleotides long. RefSeq lists it as uncharacterized. The transcript is spliced from 3 exons. The record is from RefSeq and is a predicted model, not a curated record. NCBI's taxonomy places the organism in Eukaryota, Viridiplantae, Streptophyta, Magnoliopsida, Fabales, Fabaceae.